CCUACGGGGGGCUGCAGUGGGGAAUAUUGGACAAUGGGCGAAAGCCUGAUCCAGCCAUGCCGCGUGUGUGAAGAAGGCCUUCGGGUUGUAAAGCACUUUCAGUGGGAAGAAAGCCUUGGGGCUAAUACCCUCGAGGAAGGACAUCACCCACAGAAGAAGCACCGGCUAACUCCGUGCCAGCAGCCGCGGUAAUACGGAGGGUGCGAGCGUUAAUCGGAAUUACUGGGCGUAAAGCGCGCGUAGGCGGUCUGAUAAGCCGGUUGUGAAAGCCCCGGGCUCAACCUGGGAACGGCAUCCGGAACUGUCAGGCUAGAGUGCAGGAGAGGAAGGUAGAAUUCCCGGUGUAGCGGUGAAAUGCGUAGAGAUCGGGAGGAAUACCAGUGGCGAAGGCGGCCUUCUGGACUGACACUGACGCUGAGGUGCGAAAGCGUGGGUAGCAAACAGGAUUAGAUACCCCAGUAGUC
Molecule: ribosomal RNA, 464 nt
Filed under: Vreelandella stevensii
Lineage: Bacteria; Pseudomonadati; Pseudomonadota; Gammaproteobacteria; Oceanospirillales; Halomonadaceae
Description: partial 16S ribosomal RNA
Rfam family: Bacterial small subunit ribosomal RNA
Source: RNAcentral